Sitophilus oryzae (rice weevil) is the source of this 907-nucleotide long non-coding RNA. RefSeq lists it as uncharacterized. Lineage: Eukaryota; Metazoa; Arthropoda; Insecta; Coleoptera; Curculionidae. The record is from RefSeq and is a predicted model, not a curated record. The transcript is spliced from 3 exons.
AAUAAGUAAAGUUGUAGGUACUUUCAAGAAAUAUAGUUAACUGUAAGUGCUGUAUUUUAAUAAUGUGUCAAAAAUCAAAAUCAUCAGGAUAAUAUUAGGUAUUGAUUUUCAAACAAGAAUUAGAUUACAGCGAUUGUCAAAAGCAUUUAGAUAUUGCUUUGAAAUCUACAGAUAAGGUAUGGCAGUUUCGUUUUAAAGAACAAGAUGUUAAAGUUUAUGAUAAAAUUGUCAUCAGAAAUACUGUCCACUUGCAGUAUUUACAUAGGAAAAUGUUGGAGGAUGAAGCUCUACCUACUGCCUCAGGUUAAUUUAAAUUCUGAGUUGCAACAACAGCAACAAGCAAGAAGGGCACCAUUAAAUGAAUAUUAUACACAUAAGUAUUAUUAUACAAAGAAAGAGUAAUGUUAUACACAUAAAUAUUAACAUUUUGUAGAGCAACAACAGAAUAAAAAACCAAAAUAUGAACACCAGCAACUAAAACAGGAACCAUUAAAUGAAUAUUAUACCCAGCAAUAACAGCAUCAAAUAAUGGAAAUAAUGGACCUUAUUGCACAAAUCAAAAACAAAAUUUCAGCAUUACUACUUUAUUGGUUAUAUCAAUAAAAGAAAUUGAGUUUAUCAGUCUAGAUCCUACAAGCAAGCAGAUCUAUCACAUAAUUUUAAAUAAAGAUUUAUCUAUCAUAGUAAUUUAUUCUAAUAACGAAAAAAAAACUUUGGAUCAAAAAAUAUUUUCUUCUGAUGAGGUUUAUGAAUAUUAAAGUCUGUUGAAGUUUGGCCAUUAUGUGUUGGUAUACAAUUUAUUUAUGAUGUUACAGUAGUUAAACCAUCCGAGUACGAAACAUGUUUAAUAUCCACUAUUCUUAAUGAAUGGAAACUACCAACUUGAGAGGAAGCUAAGAGAAAGGUU